Molecule: unclassified non-coding RNA, 200 nt
Filed under: Sebacina sp.
Lineage: Eukaryota; Fungi; Basidiomycota; Agaricomycetes; Sebacinales; Sebacinaceae
Description: partial internal transcribed spacer 2
Source: RNAcentral
UUAAGUUCAGCGGGUAGUCCUACUCGAUUUGAGGUCAAGUUGUCAGAAAUUGUCCGAAGACGGUUUGAAGCACAGAGCUCCCGAUCAGCCACCCUCUUUGCAGAGGCGCCGGCGAAGACACUUAUCACGCCGUACUAUGUCCAACCAAGAGUUGCACUAACUCAUUUGAGGUGAGCCACAAGUAAAGCAGCAACACCCAA